Molecule: ribosomal RNA, 591 nt
Filed under: uncultured bacterium
Lineage: Bacteria
Description: bacterial SSU rRNA
Rfam family: Bacterial small subunit ribosomal RNA
Source: RNAcentral
AGUCGAGCGGUAGCAGUCCUUCGGGAGCUGACGAGCGGCGGACGGGUGAGGAAUGCUUGGGAAUCUGCCCGAUAGAGGGGGAUAACUACGGGAAACUGUAGCUAAUACCGCAUGAUCUCUUAGGAGCAAAGCGGCGGACCUUCGGGCCUCGCGCUAUCGGAUGAGCCCAAGUGGGAUUAGCUAGUUGGUAGGGUAAAGGCCUACCAAGGCGACGAUCUCUAACUGGUCUGAGAGGAUGAUCAGUCACACUGGAACUGAGACACGGUCCAGACUCCUACGGGAGGCAGCAGUGGGGAAUAUUGGACAAUGGGGGCAACCCUGAUCCAGCCAUGCCGCGUGGGUGAAGAAGGCCUUCGGGUUGUAAAGCCCUUUUGGCGGGGAGGAAAGGGUGUGAGGUGAAUAAUCUCGCACUUUGACGUUACCCCGCAGAAAUAAGCACCGGCAAACUCCCGUGCCCAGCAGCCCGCGGUAAUACGGAGGGGUGCAAGCGUUAAUCGGAAUUACUGGGGCGUAAAGCGCAUGCAGGCGGUCUGUUAAGUCAGAGUGUGAAAUCCCCCGGGGCUUAACCUGGGAACUGCAUUUUGAAACUGG